RNAcentral lists this long non-coding RNA (246 nucleotides) under Elaeis guineensis (African oil palm). Its description in RNAcentral is "long non-coding RNA (EGUI_LNC043246)". The record is from RNAcentral. Lineage: Eukaryota; Viridiplantae; Streptophyta; Magnoliopsida; Arecales; Arecaceae.
UAGAAUAUCAAAAAGCUAUCCAAAAUUUCAAAGAGAUUGAAGUAUUCCAAAUUUUCAGGUCAGAAAAUACCCGGAUUGACGCUCUGUCAUAUCUCGCCACUUCAAAUUUUUUGAACUGAAUCAGAAAGUAUUGAUUGAAUAGUUAGAUAAGCCUAAUAUUGAGGUACUUUCAAUAUUUCAGAUCAGUCAUGAGUCGAGUUGGAUUAAUCCCCUCAUACAUUACAUAUCUAAAGAAGUUUUGCCCGA